Molecule: long non-coding RNA, 537 nt
Organism: Beta vulgaris subsp. vulgaris (sugar beet)
Lineage: Eukaryota; Viridiplantae; Streptophyta; Magnoliopsida; Caryophyllales; Amaranthaceae
Exons: 3
Source: RefSeq, a predicted model, not a curated record
AGCAGUGGUGUUGGCUCGUGUGUGUGGUUCGAGUAUUGCGACGAAGGUCGCGGUGUUCGAGGGAGUCGUGCGUGUGUUGUUGUGCGUAGGUCGAGAGCGAGCGAAGGGUGCGUCGCUGCUGUGCGCGCCAGCGAACCGAAGAAGGCUCGAGUGGGGCUGUGUGGCGAGCGAAGGCCACCGGAGUUCCGUCGCCGGAAUUUUGUGCCGGCGAAAGUCAGUGGUCCCAAUUUCAUAAGCGGCUCGUUCUAUUAAGUCAGCGAAAAUUCUCCGUUACAAGACUAGGUGAGCUGGUGCUGCUGCAUGACAUCAAGCAUAUGGGGGCUAGACUGUAGUUUGAAGUUAACUUUUGGUUUGAUCAUUAAUGAAUUUUAUAGAACAUUGUUACAUGGUUUGAGUUUGAGUAAAAAGGGGUCAUCUGUGAUUCCCGAGUUGUAAUUACAUUUUCUAUUCCGCUGCAGUUUGGUUUUGAGACAAUGAAUUUGAGUUACCGUAUUUCUAAUUAUGCCUUGCGUUCCAUCGCGGCGGUAACACUCCCAA